Molecule: long non-coding RNA, 277 nt
Filed under: Elaeis guineensis (African oil palm)
Lineage: Eukaryota; Viridiplantae; Streptophyta; Magnoliopsida; Arecales; Arecaceae
Description: long non-coding RNA (EGUI_LNC081024)
Source: RNAcentral
CUCUUUUCGAUCAAUCUUCCUAAGGUGGACUUUAUUUCGAUCUUAUCGAACAAGAUAAUUACAAUGCAAAAAGUAUUUGAUUCUUAGAUGGAACAUCAGUUCUUCAGUUUGAGCUAUAGCUCCAGUACUGCUGUCAAUACAGAAGGACUGGACUAUCAAUAGAGGGUGCGUCUCCAAGCUCGCAAAUAAACUUCCAUAAUCAAAUAAUUUCUUUACUAGCAUCAAAUGCCACAAAGAACUACGUAUCGCAAAUAAAACUGGCUACUAAAUACUGCAU